This is a long non-coding RNA of Armigeres subalbatus, 316 nucleotides long. RefSeq lists it as uncharacterized. The transcript is spliced from 3 exons. Lineage: Eukaryota; Metazoa; Arthropoda; Insecta; Diptera; Culicidae. The record is from RefSeq and is a predicted model, not a curated record.
AUUUCCGGUUGUGUCCGAGCCCACCUUCCUUAAUCUGAGGAUUCACGGACUCAAUCAUUUCGUCCGUGAUCAGCCAAUGAGUUGGAAGUGUCCGCGUUUGCUAAUUUGUUUUUCAAUCGUCUGAAUUAUAUUUCAAAAGUGUGCGUGAAUAUUUGUGUGCGGUAUGUUGGCAAAUGCCACCAUCUAGAUAGAUUGGCUAGAUAUUUCCCACCCGCAGCAAAUUAUUGCACCCAAGUGCGACGCAACCCCCCCCCCCCAUACGGACGGAAUAUUCCUGCCUGGCGAUCAUCACCUGCCAGAAGCGGACCGAUCCGUC